UACGAAGGGGGCUAGCGUUGCUCGGAAUCACUGGGCGUAAAGCGCACGUAGGCGGUUCUUUAAGUCAGGGGUGAAAUCCCAAGGCUCAACCUUGGAACUGCCUUUGAUACUGGGGAUCUCGAGUCCGGAAGAGGUGAGUGGAACUGCGAGUGUAGAGGUGAAAUUCGUAGAUAUUCGGAAGAACACCAGUGGCGAAGGCGGCUCACUGGCCCGGUACUGACGCUGAGGUGCGAAAGCGUGGGGAGCAAACAGG
This 253-nucleotide ribosomal RNA is filed under the name uncultured bacterium. RNAcentral's name for it is "partial 16S ribosomal RNA". It matches the Rfam family "Bacterial small subunit ribosomal RNA", at positions 524 to 776 of the family's 1533-position model. The record is from RNAcentral.